GGGCCCGCACAAGCGGUGGAGCAUGUGGUUUAAUUCGAUGAUACGCGAGGAACCUUACCAGGGCUUAAAUGCAUAUUGACAGGUCUAGAGAUAGAUUUUCCUUCGGGCAAUUUGCAAGGUGCUGCAUGGUUGUCGUCAGCUCGUGCCGUGAGGUGUCAGGUUAAGUCCUAUAACGAGCGCAACCCCUACCGUUAGUUGCCAGCAAGUAAAGUUGGGGACUCUAACGGGACUGCCGGUGCAAACCGCGAGGAAGGUGGGGACGACGUCAAAUCAUCACGGCCCUUACGUCCUGGGCUACACACGUGCUACAAUGGCCGGUACAGCGGGAAGCCACUGCGCAAGCAGGCGCGGAUCCACAAAACCGGUCACAGUUCGGAUCGAGGUCUGCAACCCGACCUCGUGAAGCUGGAAUCGCUAGUAAUCG
Molecule: ribosomal RNA, 424 nt
Filed under: uncultured bacterium
Lineage: Bacteria
Description: bacterial SSU rRNA
Rfam family: Bacterial small subunit ribosomal RNA
Source: RNAcentral